This 88-nucleotide transfer RNA is filed under the name Myxococcota bacterium. Its description in RNAcentral is "tRNA-Ser". It matches the Rfam family "tRNA". From Rfam's summary of the family: Transfer RNA (tRNA) molecules are approximately 80 nucleotides in length. Their secondary structure includes four short double-helical elements and three loops (D, anti-codon, and T loops). Lineage: Bacteria; Pseudomonadati; Myxococcota. The record is from RNAcentral.
GGAGAGGUGGCCGAGUGGUCGAAGGCGGUAGACUCGAAAUCUAUUGAGGGCGUUUCGUCCUCCGCGGGUUCGAAUCCCGCCCUCUCCG